GAAUACGAACAUCUGUUGAAUGGCCCAAACACAAUGGGAUUUGAUAACGUUGAACCGUUAUCUUGGCCAUCAUGGGUACAACCACCUGAAAACAAUAGCCAACAUAAUUCAUACGAUGAUCCGAGACCUGGGCCAUCAUGGAUGCCAGACGAUGUAGCCGAUAAUGAACAAAGUGUACCCGGUAAGUAUA
This is a long non-coding RNA of Leptinotarsa decemlineata (Colorado potato beetle), 190 nucleotides long. The record is from RefSeq and is a predicted model, not a curated record. Lineage: Eukaryota; Metazoa; Arthropoda; Insecta; Coleoptera; Chrysomelidae.